RNAcentral lists this small RNA (139 nucleotides) under Escherichia coli O169:H41 str. F9792. Its description in RNAcentral is "partial QUAD RNA". It matches the Rfam family "Short Intergenic Abundant RNA". Rfam says of the family: This family contains multiple ncRNA from E. coli that were identified in a large scale screen of E. coli, were they were called candidates 43,55 and 61. Lineage: Bacteria; Pseudomonadati; Pseudomonadota; Gammaproteobacteria; Enterobacterales; Enterobacteriaceae. The record is from RNAcentral.
UUGACAUUCUGAACGUGAAGGCAUACUUUCAGGAGUGAGGGUAGAGCGGGGUUUCCCCCGCCCUGGUAGUCUUAGUAUGCUGGGUAGCUUAUCACUAAGAGCACUACGAUGAUGAGUAUCUUCAUCAUGACCCUUUCCU